Molecule: ribosomal RNA, 2876 nt
Filed under: Rhodobacteraceae bacterium EL129
Lineage: Bacteria; Pseudomonadati; Pseudomonadota; Alphaproteobacteria; Rhodobacterales; Paracoccaceae
Description: bacterial LSU rRNA
Rfam family: Bacterial large subunit ribosomal RNA (bases 560-2876)
Source: RNAcentral
UGACAAUCUGCUUCAGAAACGUUGAUGAAGACCAACGCGAAGGAAGCGAAACAUGUCAGAUUUUGCCAUAAUUACAGAUGGAACAGCAGCCGUUGUCGGCCUCCUGGUGGGGUUGAUCAACAUGGGUGUGAACCAUUGCCCGAACGACGGGUGUUUGGCAAAAAAUGAAGUGACGCCAUAUAUCGCGGCCUCGGUCGGGGAUGUGGUGUUUCAAAAACAAACCGUUGGCGAGGAAUUCUAUAUCAGAAAGCAAACUGGUACAGCUCGCGGACCAUUCCAAUUCACCUACGGUGCUUCAAUCACCGACGAAGGUGGGGUGUGGAUCGGUUUGGGGAAUACAACAACGUAUCAGAUCACACCACGGUGGUACGCACAGUUCCAUUCGAUGCCCGGGAUUUAUCUCGAAGGCGGAGAGGAGGACCUUGGCGGACCGAUCGAAUUCAGAUCCGGUAUCGAGUUGGGAUACGAAAAUCGCACAGGUGUGCGGAUGGGGCUAAGCAUUGACCACCGGUCAAACGCUGGGAUCUACUCCAACAACCCUGGCCUCGAGACUGUACAGUUUCGGGUUUCCAUUCCCCUCAAAUAACCAACCUUUUGGUUGUCAUUAGUGUCCAGUCUUGUGACGGCGUACCUUUUGUAUAAUGGGUCAUCGACUUAGUGUAUCUAGCAAGCUUAAGCCGUUAGGUGUAGGCGCAGCGAAAGCGAGUCUUAAUAGGGCGACUGAGUUAGAUGCAUUAGACCCGAAACCGAGUGAUCUAGGCAUGACCAGGUUGAAGGUAAGGUAACACUUACUGGAGGACCGAACCCACAUCUGUUGAAAAAGAUCGGGAUGAGUUGUGCCUAGGGGUGAAAGGCCAAUCAAACUCGGAGAUAGCUGGUUCUCUGCGAAAUCUAUUUAGGUAGAGCGUCAUCCGAAUACCCUCGGGGGUAGAGCACUGGAUGGGUAAUGGGGCCCCACAGGCUUACUGAUCCUAACCAAACUCCGAAUACCGAGGAGUACUAGAUGGCAGACACACUGCGGAUGCUAACGUCCGUAGUGGAGAGGGAAACAACCCUGACCUACAGCUAAGGCCCCUAAUUCAUGGCUAAGUGGGAAAGCAGGUGGGACGACCAAAACAACCAGGAGGUUGGCUUAGAAGCAGCCAUCCUUUAAAGAUAGCGUAACAGCUCACUGGUCUAAAUAAGUUGUCCUGCGGCGAAGAUGUAACGGGGCUCAAGCCAUGAGCCGAAGCUUAGGAUGCCGUAAGGCAUGGUAGCAGAGCGUAGUGUGACAUAGUUCCACUCCUCUUUAGCAGCUUUCGAGCUGUUCUGGAGGAACGGAGCUUUCGAUGAAGCCGGGGCGUGAGCCAUCCGGUGGAGAGAUCACUAGUGAGAAUGAUGACAUGAGUAGCGACAAAGAGUGUGAGAGACACUCUCGCCGAAAGUCCAAGGGUUCCUGCUUAAAGUUAAUCUGAGCAGGGUAAGCCGACCCCUAAGGCGAGGCCGAAAGGCGUAGUCGAUGGGAACCAGGUUAAUAUUCCUGGGCCAGGAGGAUGUGACGGAUCAUGAAGGUUGUUUACCCUUAUUGGAUUGGGUGAGCCGCUGAUUGGUUCCUGGAAAUAGCCCUCCAUUAGAUCGUACCCUAAACCAACACAGGUGGACAGGUAGAGUAUACCAAGGCGCUUGAGAGAACUAUGUUGAAGGAACUCGGCAAAAUACCUCCGUAAGUUCGCGAGAAGGAGGCCCGGUUCCUAGGCAACUAGGGGCUGGGGGCACAAACCAGGGGGUGGCGACUGUUUACUAAAAACACAGGGCUCUGCGAAGUCGCAAGACGACGUAUAGGGUCUGACGCCUGCCCGGUGCCUGAAGGUUAAAAGGAGAGGUGAGAGCCUUGAAUUGAAGCCCAGGUAAACGGCGGCCGUAACUAUAACGGUCCUAAGGUAGCGAAAUUCCUUGUCGGGUAAGUUCCGACCUGCACGAAUGGCGUAACGACUUCCCCGCUGUCUCCAACAUAGACUCAGCGAAAUUGAAUUGCCUGUCAAGAUGCAGGCUUCCCGCGGUUAGACGGAAAGACCCCGUGCACCUUUACUACAGCUUCGCACUGGCAUCAGGACUGCAAUGUGCAGGAUAGGUGGUGGGCUUUGAAACCGGAACGCUAGUUUCGGUGGAGCCUCCCUUGAGAUACCACCCUUUGCAUUCUUGAUGUCUAACCGCGGCCCGUUAUCCGGGUCCGGGACCCUGCGUGGUGGGUAGUUUGACUGGGGCGGUCGCCUCCUAAAGCGUAACGGAGGCGCGCGAAGGUUGGCUCAGAGCGGUCGGAAAUCGCUCGUUGAGUGCAAUGGCAGAAGCCAGCCUGACUGCGAGACUGACAAGUCGAGCAGAGUCGAAAGACGGCCAUAGUGAUCCGGUGGUCCCGAGUGGAAGGGCCAUCGCUCAACGGAUAAAAGGUACGCCGGGGAUAACAGGCUGAUACUGCCCAAGAGUCCAUAUCGACGGCAGUGUUUGGCACCUCGAUGUCGGCUCAUCUCAUCCUGGGGCUGGAGCAGGUCCCAAGGGUACGGCUGUUCGCCGUUUAAAGAGGUACGUGAGCUGGGUUUAGAACGUCGUGAGACAGUUCGGUCCCUAUCUGCCGUGGGUGUAGGAUACUUGAGAGGAGUUGCCCCUAGUACGAGAGGACCGGGGUGAACGAUCCACUGGUGGACCAGUUGUCGUGCCAACGGCAGUGCUGGGUAGCUAUGAUCGGACAGGAUAACCGCUGAAGGCAUCUAAGCGGGAAGCCCCCCUCAAAACAAGGUAUCCCUGAGGACCGUGGUAGACCACCACGUCGAUAGGCCAGAGAUGUAAGCGCAGCAAUGCGUUCAGUUGACUGGUACUAAUUGUCCGAUAGGCUUGAUUUG